Molecule: ribosomal RNA, 898 nt
Filed under: Myriostoma coliforme
Lineage: Eukaryota; Fungi; Basidiomycota; Agaricomycetes; Geastrales; Geastraceae
Description: eukaryotic LSU rRNA
Rfam family: Eukaryotic large subunit ribosomal RNA
Source: RNAcentral
ACUAACAAGGAUUCCCUUAGUAACGGCGAGUGAAGAGGGAAGAGCUCAAAUUUGAAAUCUGGNAGNNNNUNNCUGUCCGAGUUGUAAUCUAGAGAAGUGUUUUCCGUGCUAGACCGUGUACAAGUCCAUUGGAACAUGGCGUCAUAGAGGGUGAGAAUCCCGUCCAUGACACGGUGACUAGUGCUCUGUGAUACACUCUCAACGAGUCGAGUUGUUUGGGAAUGCAGCUCAAAAUGGGUGGUAAAUUCCAUCUAAAGCUAAAUACAGGCGAAAGACCGAUAGCGAACAAGUACCGUGAGGGAAAGAUGAAAAGCACUUUGGAAAGAGAGUUAAACAGUACGUGAAAUUGUUGAAAGGGAAACGCUUGAAGUCAGUCGCGUCUUCAGAAAUUCAGCUAGUGAUACUAGUGUACUUUUCUGUUAGACGGGCCAGCGUCAGUUUCAGCCACCAGAAAAAGGUGAGAGAAAGGUAGCAUCCCCGGAUGUGUUAUAGUCUCUUAUCUUAUAUGGUGGCAGGGACUGAGGAAUGCAGCACGCCCUUGUUGGCCGGGGUUCGCCCACGUAACGUGCUUAGGAUGCUGGCGUAAUGGCUUUAAACGACCCGUCUUGAAACACGGACCAAGGAGUCUAACAUGCAUGCAAGUAUUUGGGUGGCAAACCCAUAUGCGUAAUGAAAGUGAAUCACAGUUGGGACUUGUGUCAUGCAAGGCACCGACGCCCGGUCCAUGAUCCCUCCGUGGUGACGGAUCCGAGGUAGAGCAUGUAUGCUGGGACCCGAAAGAUGGUGAACUAUGCCUGAGUAGGGUGAAGCCAGAGGAAACUCUGGUGGAGGCUCGUAGCGAUUCUGACGUGCAAAUCGAUCGUCGAACUUGGGUAUAGGGGCGAAAGACUAAUCGAAC